GCUCCGUAGUGUAGUGGUUAGCACAUCUGCUUUACAUGCAGAAGGUCCUGGGUUCACUCCCAGGGUGCG
This 69-nucleotide transfer RNA is filed under the name Pteropus alecto (black flying fox). It matches the Rfam family "tRNA". Rfam says of the family: Transfer RNA (tRNA) molecules are approximately 80 nucleotides in length. Their secondary structure includes four short double-helical elements and three loops (D, anti-codon, and T loops). Further hydrogen bonds mediate the characteristic L-shaped molecular structure. tRNAs have two regions of fundamental functional importance: the anti-codon, which is responsible for specific mRNA codon recognition, and the 3' end, to which the tRNAs corresponding amino acid is attached (by aminoacyl-tRNA synthetases). tRNAs cope with the degeneracy of the genetic code in two manners: having more than one tRNA (with a specific anti-codon) for a particular amino acid; and 'wobble' base-pairing, i.e. permitting non-standard base-pairing at the 3rd anti-codon position. The record is from Rfam by way of RNAcentral. Lineage: Eukaryota; Metazoa; Chordata; Mammalia; Chiroptera; Pteropodidae.